RNAcentral lists this unclassified non-coding RNA (235 nucleotides) under uncultured fungus. Its description in RNAcentral is "sequence contains ITS1". Lineage: Eukaryota; Fungi. The record is from RNAcentral.
GUAUUGAUUGCGUGUGACCGCAAAAUAAAUAAAUAAAAAGAACAUUCUACACUGUAUCAAGUUUUAUGUGAAAACGCAAGCCCUCCUGCAAAGGGGGGCCCACGCGGUGAUGCACAAAAGGGGUGAGAUGGAUUGUGUGAGAGUGCUCGGGCGUGCACAACCUUUAAAAGGUCAGCGACAGCCCUUGCACCUCGGUUAUACAAUAAUGAUCCUUCCGCAGGUUCACCUACGGAAA